This 257-nucleotide unclassified non-coding RNA is filed under the name Hevea brasiliensis (rubber tree). Lineage: Eukaryota; Viridiplantae; Streptophyta; Magnoliopsida; Malpighiales; Euphorbiaceae. The record is from RNAcentral.
GCCUCAGGCUCAGGCGUCUAGCGGGACGAUACCUGAGGGAAUGCAUUCUUAUGGUGGUUUGAGCAGUGUUGGCUAUCCUGAUGGGUACGCCCGAUUGCCAUCUCAGGCGGCUGGUGGGUCAGCAGUUGAUCCCUAUGGUGGUGGUGCCGGUGCUUCCUAUGGUUCUGCUAGAGGACCUGCAACUUCUGCUCAGCGGUGAAUGCAGGAGUUAUCUCAUGGUCCCGAUCAGCAGUAAAGGCUGGUGGGUCAGCAGUUGA